UGGCCCUGACCGAGACUUGGGCAGGUGAGUGCGGGGUCCAGAGAGAAACGGCCUCUGUGGGGAGGAGUGAGGGGCCCGCCCGGUGGGGGCGCAGGACUCAGGGAGCCGCGCCCGGAGGAGGGUCGGGCGGGUCUCAGCCCCUCCUCGCCCCCAGGCUCCCACUCCUUGAGGUAUUUCAGCACCGCUGUGUCGCGGCCCGGCCGCGGGGAGCCCCGGUACAUCGCCGUGGAGUACGUAGACGACACGCAGUUCCUGCGGUUCGACAGCGACGCCGCGAUUCCGAGGAUGGAGCCUCGGGAGCCGUGGGUGGAGCAAGAGGGGCCGCAGUAUUGGGAGAGGACCACAGGAUACGCGAAGGCCAACGCACAGACUGACCGAGUGGCCCUGAGGAACCUGCUCCGCCGCUACAACCAGAGCGAGGCCGGGAAUGAAUGGCUGCGACAUGGGGCCCGACGGACGCCUCCUUCGCGGGUAUCACCAGCACGCGUACGACGGCAAGGAUUACAUCUCCCUGAACGAGGACCUGCGCUCCUGGACCGCGGCGGACACCGUGGCUCAGAUCACCCAGCGCUUCUAUGAGGCAGAGG
RNAcentral lists this small RNA (587 nucleotides) under Pan troglodytes (chimpanzee). RNAcentral describes it as "processed transcript". Lineage: Eukaryota; Metazoa; Chordata; Mammalia; Primates; Hominidae. The record is from RNAcentral.